Molecule: ribosomal RNA, 253 nt
Filed under: uncultured bacterium
Lineage: Bacteria
Description: partial 16S ribosomal RNA
Rfam family: Bacterial small subunit ribosomal RNA
Source: RNAcentral
UACGUAGGGUGCAAGCGUUGUCCGGAAUUAUUGGGCGUAAAGAGCUCGUAGGCGGUCUGUUGCGUCGGCUGUGAAAACCCGGGGCUCAACUCCGGGCCUGCAGCCGAUACGGGCAGACUAGAGUUCGGCAGGGGAGACUGGAAUUCCUGGUGUAGCGGUGAAAUGCGCAGAUAUCAGGAGGAACACCGGUGGCGAAGGCGGGUCUCUGAGCCGAUACUGACGCUGAGGAGCGAAAGCGUGGGGGGCAAACAGG